Molecule: small nuclear RNA, 90 nt
Filed under: Suricata suricatta (meerkat)
Lineage: Eukaryota; Metazoa; Chordata; Mammalia; Carnivora; Herpestidae
Source: RNAcentral
UUGCUUUGGCUGCAGAUACACGGAAACUGGAAAGAUACAGAGAAGAUUAGCGUGGCCCCUGUACAAAUUCAUGAAACAUUCUAUCUUUUU